AGUAGGGCUUGAUGGGAACACAGAAAGUCUGAGUUAUCGGCAGUCUGUAGGGAUUAGAAAUAGAGCUAGGACUUCAAAACUAUAUUGGUUUUGGAAAAUGGUUGUAAUAGGUUCAGUGGUAGCUAUUCUAAGAAAUUGGAAGGAAUUGUCCAAAUUCCUCUGACAGGCAGCUAGCUCACUUGACCUUGGGGUAAAGUGCAACAGAGUAAAAGUUCCUCCAUUGGCCUGGUCUCUAAAUUGCUAUGGACAAAGAUAGCCUGUGGUGACUCUCCAGGUAGGGAAAACAGUAGACCUUGACAUAAGUUGUCAUUGAAAACUACUUACAAACUAACAAAAAGUAAAACCCCUCACUUAUUUUACCACGCCAGCAUUUCUUGGGUUCAGAAUUUGUUAGGCAUCCGUUUUCAGUCUAUACUCAAUGGCCUGACUUGUUUAUAAUCAAUAGCUUUGUUGAUGAUGUAUGACUGAAUUCAGUGUUGGCAAUCCAUUUUUGUUUUCUUGCAGAGAAGAGUUCCCUCAACAACCUACACAGAAAUCACUGCUACUCUUGUGGAGUGGUAGUCCUUUCCUCUGUCCUGUACUCAAAGGACAGCUGCAUUUUCUCAUGUCAGGACCUACCCAGUCUCUUCAGCCAACCCACACUGAUAAACAAAGAGGUGACCUCAACCCUGCGCGUGUUCUCCUUACAUAGCAGGAUUCCUCUCUGUCUAUAUGACUUCAAAGAGAGCGGUGAGAGGCUGUAGGGUAGAUUGAAACACUGUUAGCAUCAUAUUCCUUUCAUACACAUGACACAGGCAGAAUCAGGAAACACCCGGAUGACUUUAAUAAGCAUUAGUUUAACAUUUAGAAAGUAAGAAUUCUGUAUAAUUGAGCAAGCAAAUAGAUUUACAUAAAUAGUAAAACUCAAUCAAAGCCUUCAAUAUGUCUGUUUCCCACCCCAUGCCCUGUGUACGUAAAUCUGAAAAUAUGUAAAGUCAAUUAUUGGCAAGAAGUUUUUGAUAUACGUUUGUCCUAAAUCAUCACUUAACUGCUACUUUUCUCCUGUUAGUAACAGUAAUUCGGCAUUAGCGUUUUUCUGCAUAUCACACCUCUUCACACAUACAGAAGUGAUGCAUGUACAUACACAUGGAGUUUUGGGCUACAGAGAUUAUUUUAAUUCAAUCCUCCUGGCUCUGUUUUUUUUUUUUUAAGUUACUUAAGAAAAGCCCUGGAACAAAUGUCCCUAAGACAUGGAUCAUCUUUACCACCCAGACUUCAUUCUACAAGAAUGAAGGUAGAACAUGGGAUUCCUGGUCCUUAAGAAUGAUGUCAGUGGGCUUUGUGACUUCAUGUUGUCUGAAACACUAAGUGGAGAAACCUUCCAAACCAGGGCAUUUUGGAAUGCUGGAAUAUUUCAUGUGAUUAUAGGGCUUUUGUCCAUAUUCUGAUCAUAAACUUUCAUAGAUGGUUUGUUGUUGUUUGUAUUGAGUUAUGUGGCCCACACUAACCUUCUACACUUCAGGGAUCUUCCUGAUUUAAGAGUCUCAAAAUAGCUAGGACUUCACAUCUUACCAGCUUCUUUUAACCGGUGUUCACUAGCCCUCUAUUUUUUCUACACAUUAGGCAGACAUUGAUGCUCAGUUAUUUUUUUUUCUGUGCUGCUCAUACUCUCAUUUAGUGGGGAAGAAGCCCCGAGUCCUCCAGGAACUGUUCAUACUGUAAAGUCUGAUAUUACACAAGAAUAGUGAAUUUUAACAAUGUUAGGCUCUAAUCAGUGAAUAAUAAAUAUUUUCUUGUCAAUUAGUUCUUGAGUCUGAAUAUAUUGUCUUAUGCAAAAGUGUUUUAUUAUAGUUAAAAUAUCUCAAUUGUGUCUGAGGCAGUCACAGUGGACUGGGAUGGAGAGCUGCCUUACCAACCGAGUAUUUCAUAUUUUCUUUCUUUGAGCCCCAUGGCUCAGUAGGAAAUUUAGAAGAAUCCACAGCUUAAUGGUGACUGAGAAUCAGGGCUGAUUCUAGCAAGCCAAUCACAUAACUUCAUUUGAGCACAUUUUCCUAAGGAGUAUGAACAAAAGAAGAAAUUGAGACUGCUUGAAGAGAGUUCCUGGGGAAGAUCGUCCCCAUGGCCCUCUCAUCAAAAGUUCAGAUCUGCAUUUUCAGAGAACAGAAUGUGAUUUCAUCCAGAGAUCUGAAACACUCUUAAACGUUAAAACUUUUUUUCCUAAGAUGUUCUAAGGUACUGUUAUUGCAGAUAAAGCUGGAAGUAUUGAUGAUCAGUAUGGAAAUGAUGAGGAAUACACAAUUCAGCUAGGAAAGCAUCACCAUCUGGAAACCAAGGACCUCCCCUGUGCCAUGCUUUGGAGAGGAUGCACACUUGAAACAGGAACUCUCUCGGAACUGAACUGGGACACUUUAAGGAUCUUAUGACAACCCUUUACUACAUAAAAGAAUUUGGGCCUGAAGGUAGAAAACAGCCAAAAGAAACACCUUCAAUCCUGUGGAUCAAGCAAGUGACAUGACUGGGAGCUGCAGAUGGCAUCUGUCACGUAAUGCACACAGCCAAAUCACACCUGUCGCUGUUUGUAAGCAAAAGAGAAACAGCCAUUUGCAUAGAUCAGGCUCUUUUAAUUCUCAGUGUGCCUGACUUCAGUUUAUCUCGUGGAAAUCAGAAAGAUUAAGCAAAUUAAGACAAAACAGGCAGCGAG
Non-coding RNA from Peromyscus maniculatus bairdii (prairie deer mouse), 2680 nucleotides. NCBI's taxonomy places the organism in Eukaryota, Metazoa, Chordata, Mammalia, Rodentia, Cricetidae. The record is from RefSeq and is a predicted model, not a curated record.